UAUAAUUGCCACAUGCCUGUUUGUUCUGCUGGUGCUAAUAGGCACUCAUACCAGUAAUAGGCAGGCAAUGUGAAAUGCGCUAGGUUGCAUCUGCAAAUCCCUGUGUUAUCACACAUGACCUACUCUGUAUGUAAAGGAACCUUGGGCAUGAGAGCUCAGCCAUAAAAGUGUGUUGAUUAAGAGUCAUGAUCUUGGGGCAGAAGAUCAUGCCUAAAUAUGAGGUCAAGAGUCUGACCCAGACCCCAAAUAUGAAAAGACAGGCAGCACUGGAGAGGUAGAGAUUGAUGGACCUAUAGGACUCCAUGGCCAGCCAGCUUUUUCAAAUUGAUGAACCUCGGUCCAGUGCCUCAAACAAAAACAAGGUGGAUACUGACUGAAGACUGACAUUUGAGGUUAACUUCUGAAGCUUAAAUACACACGCAAGCAUGAACGCAUGCACAUGAAUACACACACACACACACACACACACACACACACACACACACGCAGAGAGAAGGGGGAGGAGAGAGAAAGAGACAGACAGAGACAGAGACAGACAGAGAGAGAGACAGAGAGAAACAGAGAGACAGAGAAACAGAGUCAGAGAAAGAGAGAAAACAACACACAACAGUAAGAAUAAUACUGAUAUAGAAUAAUACCUACAAUAAAUUCUGAUUUUUAAAACACCACUUAUCUCAAUGAUAGCCUAUGAGACUUUUUGUUACUAUUUACUUUUUAUAGGAACACUCUUUCUUCUUAUGAAAAGGCAGAUUUUUUUCUAGAGUACUGUUAGAAGAGUUAUUUGUGGAUCAUUGGAAUCAUAAAGAGAAUUAAAAUAUCGAUAGACAAACAUACUCAAAUUGCAUGCUCUCUGUGCUUCUCAUCAUUCACUUUUCCAGGCUGGAAUCAUUUGAUAAUUAUACUCCAAGCUCUUUGAUAUUUCUAACCAGCAGUGGGGAGUGGCUGCUACAAUAGAACCUCUCUAUGAGCCACUCAAUGAAGAAAAGGAUACUGAUAUAAGGAGAGGAGGGACGCUGCCUUUGAAGCAGUUCCAAGAACUACUACUUUGAAGGCGCUUUAAAAACACAUUGACUAUAAAACACUAGGUGCUUUCCUUUUCAUUUGUAGAUGAAAAGGGAUCCUAAGGAUAGUUCAAUAAGAGUUAACUAUUUCAAAAUACAGAGCCCAUGUGUAUUGAACGUUGUAAUGAUUGGGCAUGGUUCAAAGCUUAAUCUUCUAGUUAGUAACCAUAAUGAGAUAAUUAAUUAGAAGAGUUCACAAACCUAACUGUGUUUUGUUUUUCUUACUUACAAUUUACCCUUAUUUAAAACAUCUGUCGUUUCUAGUGUGUGUGUGUGUGUGUGUGUGUGUGUGUGUGUGUCUGUGUGUGUGUGUAUGUGUGUGUGUGUGUAUCCAUGUGUGAGAGCAUGCAUAUAAGCACAGUGCCUUUGGAAGUCAAAUAAAAGUCAGAUCCCUGUAACCGUAAUUAUAGAUAUUGGUGAGAUGGCCUAUGUGGCUGCUGUGAACUAAACACAGGUCCUCUGUAACAACAAAUUCUCCUGGGACUAAAGAAAUGGCUUGGCACUUAGAUGCUCUUGAGGAAGUCCUGGGAGUUUGGUUCCCAGCUCCCAUGCAGCUUCUCAUCAGUAUCUGUGAUUGAAACUACAGGAGAUCCGAUGUUUUCUCUUUGUCUCUGUAACAGCCAUGUACCUGGUACACACACACACACACACACACACACACACACACACACACACACACACACACAUAUAUAUAUGCAGCAAAAUACUCUUGUAUACAAAAUAAAUUAAAUAAAUAUUUAAGAUCAAGGAGUGGUCUUAUGCUAAACUAUCAAUCCAGGCAAAACAGAUUGUCAAGGGAAGACAAAAAGUACAUUACAGUUCAUUUGGUUUCUGCUUCUCUACUAAAAAUCUUCUCAGUUUUCCAGAAGCCUUUUAUGAUACCCAUACACCACAAACAAAAUGUGAACCACUCUAUUGAGUAAUUGGGUAUAUCCCAUAUCCCUGUCACAUUCUACCUUUGCAUUUUAUAAUAUAGUCACUAUGUGUCUAGUGAUUUGAACCCACGCAGACCAAUCAUGGACUUUUCUUCAUAUUCUAUUAUACAAUAGGCUAUUAAGUGGGAUGGCUAUAACUGUGCAAUUCUGCUAACUUAUCAUAUGUAAGGUGAAAGGGAACUUGUGAAGCUUUUGAAGAUUCUUCCAUUUAGUAGUCAAGCUGAGGCAGAAACCAUUUUCUCUGAAAUCCAGUCCUAUAAACUUAUGUUUAAUCAAAAAAGCAUUGUUCAGGAAUUCCUAUGAAUGACAUGAACUUUCCUCCCACCUUUAGCAUUGCUCAUCCAUAGACUUAUAAAUCAUCUCCCAGUGUGAAUAUGGACAUAUGUACUCAGUGAUGGCAUCUUUGUACUCCUUUAGGCAAGUGGUGUGUUACACGAUGAUUUCCACUCCACUUUGAGUUUUUAUAUCAAAAGGAUCAGAAGGUAAUUGUGAUGGAUAUUUUUAUCUGUCAACUUGACAAAAGCUAUCAUCUGAGAAGAGACUAUAAUGAGAAAAUGGAUAAUUAUCAAAUCAGGAUCUCAUUCAUCUUCUGCAUGAUGUGACUAGAUAUGGAGAAGGACAGAGAAUUGGUGAGGGAAAUGUGGUUGUUACUGCACUACAUAUAUAUUGAAGCUGUGAUCUACAAA
This is a non-coding RNA of Rattus norvegicus (Norway rat), 2682 nucleotides long. The record is from RefSeq and is a predicted model, not a curated record. Lineage: Eukaryota; Metazoa; Chordata; Mammalia; Rodentia; Muridae.